GGUCCGACAGUGCUGCGUUCCGAGGCUGCGGGUUGGGGUCGCGGUCGGACGUGCGGAGGUCUAACUUUUCAGGCCGGGUGCUGCUGACGAGAUACCUCAUCCGGUCCUGAGGGUACAGAAUUAGCCCUCCACAUGGGAAAGGCCCUGCCAAUCCUGGCCACCAGCUUCAACACCCCAGGGCUACGAGGUCAGCAGCACGUCACUGCUAUGCAUCCUACACGUGUAUCCUCCAGUCCCUUCCAAAGGCCUGAUGCAAGAUGUUGCUAUUCCUACUCUGCUUGUGGGAUUUCUUGGAGGUCACAUUGCUGGUGCUGAUGUCAAGUGAUGUUUUCCUUGACGUGCAAGGUACGCGCAGGUUUAAUCUUUAGGCAUAGCUUUGCACUGACAAAAAUUGGGGGAUAUUUCCGCAGUUCAGGACAAGGAAUUAAUGUUUUACAGGAAACACAGCAGUUUCCACACAAGCUGCAAGAACAAAGAAAGUCUGAGUAAAUUGGGGAUAUUCCUGGAAGUGGCUUCUGGAACAAAAAAAUACUAAAAAGGGCCAGUGUGGGUGUAGGCACCGCGUCAUUCUGAUGCACAACCACCCAACCUGAAUGUCCAGCACAGCUAAACCCAUUACUACCUGUAAUGCCAUAAAUGUGAUGGGAAGCACAGCAAUGACACAGUAGUAUUAAAGUCCUAGGCAAACAUAGCAGCUAUGGAUACAGAAAUAAAGGAAAGAAUCUGCUUACCUUCAGAAAGCCACAGGUACAGAGUGAUCUCCAGCAAAGUAACUUUGCUUCCACUGUCAACCCUUAAAUGAGGUCUGGGAAGGGGUGGAUCCUGGCUCCACCUCUUCUGGUCAGUCAGGUACGUUGCAUGCACCUGAGCUCCCAUGGAUUGGCCCUGUCUUCUCACCAGGUGCUCAAUCACUGCUUCAAGCUGUGACUUAGCAUUUCUGCUACACCACUCAGGAGCACAACUCAACCCAACCAAAAUGGCCACGUCAACCCAACACGAGUGACAACCUAACCCAACACAAGCUAAAUCGUGCAACCAAAUACAACCCAAUCAAAUAUACCUCAGUGAUGCAACCCAAACCAGCCUGAGUGAUGCAGCCCAGCCCAGCUCAACCCAGCUUAACAAAAUCAUGCACAGCACAGCAUGAUCCAGGAGGACCUUUUAGAGAGGUCCAGGGGAGAAGGGUCCAUGACUGUAGCUCCCCUUGCUGCAAGGCUGUUGCAACAAAACAGCAGUAAGAGCAAAACAACUUGUACCAACCAGGACUGCACCUCUAUGCUGUGAAUGACUGAAAGGUGGCUGAGUGUUGAAGACAUGAGAGUCCAGGUGGAUUUUCUAAUAAUUUAAGUUAAUUUAAGCCUCCUUCCCCUCCUAAUUCUCCCUUUCCAUGGAUAAAGUCACCUCCAAAUGUCUGUCUCUCGCAGUGAUACUGGACAGUGUGUUUCAAGGUGAUUGAAGGACCAGCCAAAGGGGCAGAGCCCAAAUCCCCUUGGGGAAUUGCAGUCAGCGCAGAGAGCUGAUCUGCCUGGUGCCAAGGAAUGCAUCACGUACCCAUGAAAACAGGAAUAAAUAAUUAUUUUUUUGACUUGUUUCAAUCUUUUAAAAGUUAAUCUAAUCCUCUGCCUCUUCUUUUUUUGUGUUUUUUUUUCUUUUUUUCUUUUUUUCUGGUUAUUCGAAGGAAGGAAGGAAGCCCAAACUCGGAUGUUUAUUUGUUCUGUCCUGGCCGAUGUUCCCUUGGUCGUGCUCCAGUGGCCGAUAAACUGGCAGGGAAGCAGAGCGUGGAGCACGGCAGAGCCUGGGAAAGGCCGGGACCCCGCUUCCCCUGCCCUUACGUCAUGGUUUCUCUCUGAUUAGCUUGGCCUGGGGGCUGCCAGCUGCCUUCACUCCCUUGUCUCCUCCAUGCCGCCUGUGCUUGUCAACAUGUCCCUAUACCUGAGAUGUGGGUGGGAAGCAUGGGAAGGCAGCACAAGGCUGGACCAGCAGCAUGAUGGUGGGAUGCCUGGAGCUGGUAGGGGUGGAGAUCAAGAAGAAAGUGCUGGAACACCACAAGUGACAAGCUCUGCCUGGUUUAUGGGACCUUUAUGAGGGGAGCAGUGCAGGUAUCUGCAAGGAUAACAUCUCCCUGAAGUCCCAGCCUUUUCUUCUGAGUCCUGUGAAGUGGCUGGAACCUGUGCUUCAUCCUGGUUUGAUCCCUAAGGGAUCAAGGAAUGGGGGCCUUGUGAGCACCAUGUGUGGAGAGGGGCUAAAGACCCCUUCCCACUCCCUUUCUAACCAAGAUUUCCACCUGAAAAAAAAAUCUUCCUAGCAAAUUAAAACAAGGUGGCUGGGCCGUACUCUUCAAACAGGCUUUCACCUUCUCCUUUAGUCCCAACCAUGGUCCAGGCUAUACCCCUGGUGGGUCCUGCUCAACUGCAGUGAUGUCUGAGGCCAUUACAGACCUCUGAAGUUCUUCUGGGAAGAGCCCCCACCCAGGAACAUUGGGGUGGGAGAUAAAUUUGAAAGAGUUCAGGAAGCUCUUGCAGGAUGAAUGGAAGGUGCUUCAGGGAGAGGUGAGGUGGGAAAUCAUGGGACAGAAGGCAGCUGGGGAGGUACUCUGUGUUUGAAAUGGAGAAAUAGCUACCAAUGCUCUUUGCUUUGGAACAGAAGAGGAGCCCUGAAGUUAACCGAGUGCUUUGGGGAUCUUCUCCUUAGGAGAGGAUGGUGCAAAAUAUGAGUGUCCCCUCCUCCCCAUCUUCUGCUGCUGUCACUGUGCAGAAGAGAAGAAGGAAUUUAACCCAAACCCCUCUGUGGUCUCAAGCAGCCACCCAAAGUCCCACAUCCUUUUGCAGAUAUGGGCACCGGGGUCCUAAGAGGGAUACUCAGGGUUUCAGGUCACCCCCAGUCACCACCCUGACUCACUGCCUGCUGGCUCAGAGGAUAAUACAUAGCUUCAACACUGCUAAUUGGAGCUCUUUCCCGACACUUCCUCCUCUCAAUCUUCUUCUACCCUUAGUUCUGCAGAGUCAAUAAGUGAAUUCACAUUAAAGCAGAAGUCUCUGCCAGUUCCCCUGUAUCUGCAACAGCCAGGGGGACUGCAAGGAGGUGGAGUGAAUCCUCCAGUCCCCCAGGGAUGGGAGAUAAAUCCCCAUGGCUCUCCCCUGCCCAAACCUUCUCCUGCUCCCUCUCCCUUUGCACUCCUCUGUUUCUCCUCCCCAGUUCUCUCCCAGGCUGUGGUCCUCAGCAGACAGCUGCUAGUGAUUUUCCUCGGUCAGCAAGAGCCAGGGCUGGGUGAUGCCUGCAAGCUGUGCUCUAAGGCGAAGGGACCCUUAAAGAUUCUCUGGCCCAACCCCGUGACAUGCACAUCUGUCACCAGCCCCAUUCAACCCAACUUUGAGCACCUCCAAUGAUGGGGCAUCCACAACUUUUCUGGACAACAUUUUAAGGUUUCACCAUCCUCAGUGUAGAAAAAAAAUUCUUCCUUAUUCCAAUCUAAGUCUCUUCUGUUUCACUUUAAAGCUGUUGCUACUCAUUCUGUCAAUAUAGACUGGAUCAUUGUCCUACUUGCAGUCUGCUCUGAGAUAGUCUGUGCUGAAUAUACUUAGGAUCGUGAGAUCUUGGGGGAUAGCAGCCAGCUCUGGCCAUAUCUUGGACAUCUUCUACAUGUCCCAAAGCAUGGGAGCAGGAAGGGUCCUUCCCAGGUGGCUAGGUGGCUGCAGACCAAGAAUAAACCAUCAUACCUACCGGAAGGGGAAACUGAGUCAGGAGCCAUGAACUAACCUAAUUUCCUGAUUUCCAUGAAUUAGCCAUGCUUUUCCACGGGGAGAUGGGAGAGAUGGGUCUUUGCACUCCCAAAAUAGCCUCAUUUGGAGCAUGGGGCACUGCAUUUACCCUGCCUGUGCAUGUGUUUGGGCACUUGGCACCAGCCUCGCAUUUCUUUAUCCCAGUGAAUGGCCCUGCAGAAGUUUUAUUGUCAGAAGGGCAGAAACUGGGGCCAACCCUAACCUUGUGAGCCCCCAUGCUCAGCCCACGCUGGUAGGACAGUGCAGAGCAGUAGCAUCCCUGGGAGCAUCCCUGCUCUCAGCACCUCUGGGAAGCCCUGGAAGAACCAAAGGACAGCCUAGCUUUGUGCAAGGAGCUUCAUUCUCCUCCUGUCCUUCCCCAGGCCACUAUGGGGCUUUGUGCCCAAACCUUCCACAGCCUCCAGCAAAAAGAUUUUAAGACAUGGAACAGCAAUUAAGGUUUCACAGAGGUUUCAGCAUUGCAACACCACGAGUUUCAGCAAAUAAUUAGGACUGUGGCUUGUAGGCUGAUGAGCUGCUGAUUCAUGGGUCUGACUACCACCCUUUGCUGGCAGCAGCUCGGGUCAGUCUGGAGAUAGUAAGGGACAGCCUCUGUUUCCUGAUGUGAUGGAGAUGGGACCAAACAACCCAUCUGGCUCCAUCUGAGAACCUCAGCUUCCCCAGCGGUGUCUGCACUUUGGUGGCUUGCUUUCAGGCUUGGUGCAACCUCUGCUCCACUGUGUGCAAUGGGUGGACAUGCCCAGGGGCUCUGGGGGGACCUCAUGAGAGCAGGACCUCACUGCUCGGCCCCAGAGCGCUUAGGCAGGAGAGGCUGAGCCUCCAGAU
RNAcentral lists this long non-coding RNA (4604 nucleotides) under Gallus gallus (chicken). The record is from RNAcentral. Lineage: Eukaryota; Metazoa; Chordata; Aves; Galliformes; Phasianidae.